This is a long non-coding RNA of Macaca fascicularis (crab-eating macaque), 2042 nucleotides long. The record is from Ensembl. Lineage: Eukaryota; Metazoa; Chordata; Mammalia; Primates; Cercopithecidae.
UUUUUAUUGUAAACAGAAGUUCAUAACUAGUUAUUACAAACUGAAUCAACUGAAACACAAGUUAGCAAUGUGAAACACAUUUAUAGGCUUAUUUUGGUAUGGCAUAAUUGGUAAUUUUUGCCCCCUCAAUACUUUUAAGAAGACUGCUAAAAUUUUCAGCAUUUCAAUGAUCUCUUCUUUGUCAAGUUUAGCUCCAUGACAUUCUCAUUACCUUAAAAAAAAACUCAUUCAAAUAUAGGUAGAACUUCUACCUUUCAUCAUCAAAACUAUCACACAAAAUUUAUUUUUUCACAAUGCAAAAAGAAGAUAAAUGUAUAUUUUAAAACAUUAUCAGCAGACCCUGUUUUAUGUUGUUUUUACAUUUUUUCCGUCUGCCCAUUAUUCUCUAAGAAAUCUUGCACUAAUUUCAUUUGCCCUCCUUGUCAUUGCAGACCGCCUCUAGAAUAUUGUGGUAAUUGAAACUAGCAUGUACCUGCGCCCCCUCCCAGGGUCCUAUCUUUGUCACUCACCUCCCCCAUGGCUACUGCUUGUCCUAUCUGUGCUCAGUGCAGGGAUGAGUGUACAGCUGGAAGAGGCGAAGUCAGCAUUUCAGUUUACAGAAAAAUACCAUCUGGUGGACAGAAUGAGUUGUUGAAGAUUUCCUGUGAACAAAAAUAAGCCGGCUGGGCACGGUGGCUCAUACCUGUAAUCCCAGCACUUUGGGAGGCCAAGGUGGGUGGAUCAAGAGGUCAAGAGAUCGAGACCAUUCUGGCCAACAUGGUGAAACCCCAUCUCUACUAAAAAUACAAAAAUUAGCCAGGCGUUGUGGCACAUGCCUGUAGUCCCAGGUACUCGGGAGGCUGAGGCAGGAGAAUCGCUUGAACCCGGGAGGCAGAGGUUGCAGGGAGCCAAGAUUAUAGCACUCCAGCCUGGCAACAGAGCGAGACUCUGUCUCAAAAAAAAAAAAAAUAAAUAAAUAAUAAAAAAGCCAUAAGUAAAAUUGAGAGUUUGCCCCUGUUCUGCUUUCUAAUAGAUUUUCCAAGUCUACAUUUCAGAGAAACAGCCAGGACUACUGUAAAGUAUCCUAAAACGCUAUGCCUGUUAACCAUCAUUUGUAUAAAAACAUCAAAAUAGCCUCUCAUGUCAAAAGCACUUCAUGGAGAUGUAUCAAAAACACAAGUAUUUCCCAAAAAAGAGUAAAAAUAGAUUAUUUCAUGAAUUACAUUUAAUAAAUAAUAUUUUGUAAUAUAGCGUUUUCUGGGUUUUAUAAAAAUAUUUACUUAAACUUUUAAAAGAAAUCUAAAUAGAGCAGACAAGUAAUGAAUAUGCAAUUUAUAGACCAUCUGAAUGAAAAUUUCGGCAACUUUUUUGUUAAUUCAGAUAUUAAAUGAUAUUGAAUAUAUUCAAAUGAGUUCAAAUAUCACUGCAACACUCAAGAGGUUAUAAAUCUCAUUCUUUUCAUUUAAAAACUGCACUCAAUGUUAGGUAGUAAGUCAAUCCAAUUUCAGUACAAUUUAAUGACUUCAUAAUCUCUAAGGUAUUUGAUUUUUCUACCAGAGAGAAAUGUGACAAUAUUGAAUACAAAUUGUUUUUUGUAUUGGUUUUCUUAUGUACACAAUUCAAAGUGACCCUGAUAGAAUGCUGUUACACUUGACCGCAGGGUUGUGCCCAUGCCACAUCUCUACUGCCUAUUUUACAGUAAACUCCUUUGGGGGCCCUGUCCCUGAUCCUGUGGGAGUCUUAAUAAUACCAGAGAGUUCUUUUCCAAUCAAAUAUAUUAAAAAUCAACUAGCUUGAGGGUUAUAAAUAAUUACAAUGAGAUAGUAAUAUUAGGAGCAGAGAUAAGUUAUUAUCCUUAUCUAAAAAUUAUGUGUAUUAUUUCCUGCAUUAGCACUCUUUAAUCCAGUGCUUCUGGACUUAUUUUCAAGGCAUGGUGUACUUACCAGGCCAUGCCUGGCCCAAAUAACUUGUUUGGGUCUAUGGCCUCCCCACUUUCCACUGUGUUGCCCCGAGUGCUGAGGGUAUAAACAUCUUGGCAACUCUGUUAUGUAUUGUUAACUCCA